GCAUAAUUUCUUUCUUUCUACAAAGGAAAUGAUGCCUUAAUGAUGAGUCCUGGCCUAGAAAUUGGAAAACUUUGAUUCUAGAACUAGCAUCCCCUCUGACUUGCUCUAUUACCUUGGAUAUUAGAUUUUCUGGGCCUUUGUGUCCUUUUUUUUGCAAAAUCAGAUGAUCCUGACUCCCUCAUCUCAGAGUUGUUAAAUAGCUAACAAGAUAACUGGUAAUGCCUUGGAAACUGAUUAGUGCUUUAUGGAUGUGAGAGAGAAUUAUGAUACCCAGCAAAUUCAGAUUAGAGAUCCUGUGCUUUUUUCACACACUUGCCAAGUCUUAUUUAAUGAAAAUAACAACCCUUAUAACUUUUUAAAACUAAAUAUAUAAGUUGAAUAAAUAUCUUUUAAAAAGAAUAAUUAAAUUAUAAUUUGAUAUUUUCCAAAAAGAAAAAGAAGAAGCAUCUUUCACAAUAAAAAGCAUAGAGGACAUUUACCGACUUGGUGGAUCAUUUUCUGGAAAAAAAAAUCCAGAAUCAACCACUAGAUGUCAGUGUUGGACAAGCACAGAGAUAUUGGCAGCGCCUCCCGCAUUAGCGUCUGGCUCCAUUUCAGCUAUCAAGUUUCUCUGCAAAGGAGAGGGAGUUUGUGUAACUGAAGCAAAGAUUUUGCUUUCUCACUUCUCGCCCCGUCUUGCGGAAAACAGCCUGAUGCUCUGGUUGGCCAACAGGAAGAAAUGGUUUAGUGACACAAAGUCAAACGUGGCUUUCGUGUGUGGCCACACUUCCUGGAGACCAGUGGAGGGGGCUGGAGGUGACAGCGCCUCGUGGUGUGGAACAAGGCCCUGCUGCAGCACCCUGCGUGGCUGCUGGCCAGGAACUGGCCGUGUCCUGGGGAAUGAGUCAUCAGGCACAAGCAGCUUGCUCUUGGAGGCAGGCCCAGCGCUGGUUUCAAGGCCUCGCUGAAAUGCCACAUCCUCCAGAAUGCCAUACUUAAUCUACAAAUUUGAAGCGAGUUUGCCUUCCCUCCUCCGCCUUUAUAACCCUUGGCUUGAACCUUUUUAUUACAUAGCACUGUAUAUGUGGCUCAGUUCGACUUUUUUCUUGGAGUAUAAGUUCCUGGAGGUCAAGGACUGUGCUAUACACACUAGCCUCUCUGCCUUUAUGGGGACAGAGGUCACCACCACAGGAUGAGAAUCACGUAAGACUUAAGUAAAAGUGUCCUGGUAGAUCAAGAAUUGCACUGGUUGAUAGAGGAGGCAAUAGACCUUUCCUAGAAGUCUUGGCAACCCACUCCAGUGUUCUUGCCUGGAGAAUCCCAGGGACAGGGGAGCCUGGUGGGCUGCCGUCUAUGGGGUCGCACAGAGUCGGACACGACUGAAGCGACUUAGCAGCAGCAGCAGAAGUCUUUACAAAUGGCUGUGUCCUCAUUAGACUGAGAUGAGUGGAGGUUUACUGCAAAAUGAACUGCUGUGAUUCUCUAAGUAUAGUGGCUGUGGACGCCAUGAGUCUGCAUUGCAGGGAUGCCCUGUCCCCCUGUAGCAAAUGGCCAGUACCUUCAAAGUACAUGUAUGUCAGCAGGGACCUGAUGGAGUAAGGUCUCAGCAGUGGAUUUGGACCAUAUCAGGGUUUCUUCAGACGGGAUUGACAUGUAUUUGAAUGUUUUCACUCAAACUAUCCAGCAGGGAAAUCUUCCCCCACAAACAUCAUAGUAUAAAUAAGAAGCUUGCCCUUUUUUUCCUGUCUGAGGUCUGUCAAUCUCACACAUACAAUGCAAGGCAAGGCCAAGGCCAUGACCUGACUGAUUUUGACUGGUAAGGAUACAGUGCGGCACUUUUAGAUUUAGGAAGUUGAGUACUUAUGUAGACAGUAGAAACAAGAAGAACCUGAAAGAGCCACCUCUUUGUAGUUGUCCCCCACACUGAAAGGAAUGACAUGGGCCAGAUGACCGCAACACGAGUGGUGGGGCUCUUCAUUGCUGAGAAGCCCUAUGUAGGCCACCACAAAGUAGUUCUAUAUUCUGCAUAAUAAAUAUUUAUAUAAAUUUAUAUUAGAAAUUGUAUUUUAUAUUUUUAUAACAUUUAUAUUUUAUAAAUUUGUGUUUAUAUAUUAAAGCAGUUAGAUAUUCUGAGAA
Molecule: long non-coding RNA, 2115 nt
Organism: Bubalus bubalis (water buffalo)
Lineage: Eukaryota; Metazoa; Chordata; Mammalia; Artiodactyla; Bovidae
Exons: 3
Source: RefSeq, a predicted model, not a curated record